CUGAUCUGAAGUGAUCUGCCCACCUCGGCUUCCCAAAGUGCUGGGAUUACAGGCGUGAGCCACUGCGCCUGGCCCCUUCAGGUGGGUAUUGAGGCUUCACUACAAUACUAGUUCCCCGUUGCUGCCGCAAUAAAUUACCACACACUUAGUGGCUUAAAACAGCACAGAGGUAUUCCUUUACAUUUCUGAAGGCCAGAAUUCUAAAGUCAGUCCCACUGAGUCAACGUGGGAGCAGGGUCAGUGCCUUCCCAGGCUCUGCGGGAGAAUCUGUUUCCUGGCCCUGGAGGCGGCCUGUACUCCUCAGCUUGUGCUGCCCUUCUCGAAUGACUCGCGUUUCCUGCUUUCAUCACUACACCUCCCACCGCUCUCCAUCACCUGCUCUGCUCUUAUAAGGAUCCAGUUUUCAGAAAAAUGGAAUAGUCGUAUCACUGAUCUACGUAAACAAGUUGAAGAAUUGUCUGAAAGAAAAUACAGUGUGUCUAAACUGGAAAAGUCCUGUAAUAGUUUGUUCAUGAGCAUUUACACAAUGGAGUUGCUGUUUCAUCAUGGGGGUACUGUGGACAAACCCAGGGCUGCUGACAUGAACUUAUGAAUUCAACACAUGAAGAUUUACAGCUUGACAAACCAGCUUCAGGAGGGAUUGUGCUGCAUUCGAACAUAGGUUCUGCCAUCAAACACAGAAUGCCCUGAUCCUUAGAGGCAGAGGCAGCUCUUCAGCCUAUGGGGGAGGCAGACCAGUUUUACAAAUAGCUGCUGGCCUGGAGAAUAACAGUUUCUACCAACUCAAGCUGUUGGACUCGCCGAGGCAGUAAAAGUACCAUAUCCUGUGUUUGAAUCAAACUCCAAUUUCCUGUAUAUAGAAGGCUUGCCAGACAGGAUUCCCUUCCGAAGCCCUACCUGGUUUGGAAUUCCAUGACUUGAAAGGAUCCUUCGUGGGAGUAAUAAAAUCAAGUUUGUUGUUAAAAACUUUGCAGUCCCCAAAAAAACCAUGAAGCCCUGAGAGUAAUGAAAAGCUUCCUGACAUUGAGGUCACUGUGGAAGAACCACCUAAGCUAAAGAUUCUUUUGAGAACAAGGGCUAGCCUGUGGUUUCAUGGCCUUUCUUCCAUUUGGGGUUCUUGCCAAGUGGAAUUUAAAUGACCUCUUAUCAAGAUGGAUAAACCCAAGUUUCCCAGUGCUGGAAUACAGAAAAUGGAUGGACAAGAUGUCUUUUUGUCACUUCCAGCUGGAUCUACCAUGAAAGACGUCAGAGUCCAGGAAGAGAGACUGACUGGGCAACAUGUUAUUCAGAAUUAGAGAAGAUGAUGUGGUGAUGGAAGAAGAGGUCAGAGAGGGAGAUUUGAAGAUGUUGCAGUUCUGGCCUUCAAGAUGGAGUCAGGGGCUAUCUUCAAGAGAGAAGAUCUUGAUCUGUGGCCCAGGCUGCAGUACAGU
RNAcentral lists this long non-coding RNA (1430 nucleotides) under Homo sapiens (human). RNAcentral describes it as "HSALNT0341358". The record is from RNAcentral. Lineage: Eukaryota; Metazoa; Chordata; Mammalia; Primates; Hominidae.